This 1307-nucleotide long non-coding RNA is filed under the name Capsicum annuum. RNAcentral describes it as "long non-coding RNA (CANN_LNC008434)". Lineage: Eukaryota; Viridiplantae; Streptophyta; Magnoliopsida; Solanales; Solanaceae. The record is from RNAcentral.
GUCAAAGUGUGAAAGUGAGGAAUUGUGGACUGUUUUAAGUCGACUUUUGGACUGAAUUUUGCUAACAUUAACAUGUUAUUAUUUUUAUUAUGUUUUAGUGUUCUUAAUAGGUACUAUUACAUCGGGAAAUGUGACUAUGAGCGAUUUAAUGGCUGCCAUAAUGGGUAUGAAACAUGACCUUAGUAGUCGAAUGGAGAGAAUGGAACGAAUAAUGGACCGAGUGGAAGGAAAAAUGAAAGGGAUGGAAAUCUCUCUUUGCAAGGAGUUAGAUAACUUGAUAGAGCAACCAAGCUUUCCUAAUCAAGUUCCCGUGAGUGGACAUGCUCCACAUAAGCUACAAGGUAAUUAAACUAACUCUUGUACUCUAGUGAAUGAGGCUAGUAUCCAACUAAGUGUGGAUGAUAGUUUGCCUUUAGGUGAGCUGAAUGUGUCUCCAUUUGGUGAUGAUAAUGUACAACUUGAUAUUGUGGAAACACUAGUUGAUCCAUCUAGUGUUGAAGCCAUUGUGGCAAGUGAUAGUACAUUGUCUUAUGGAAGUCAUGAAGACCAACUUGUGUGUGAAAAUGGUGAUCUUGAACAUGUUGGCUGAUUGACUAAAGAUGAACCUCUAGUUGUUUUUGUUGUAGAUCAUGUUAGUAUAGAGGGUGUCAAUAAGUGUAAUGGUGGUAGUCUUGGGGAAAGAAAGUAUGUCCUCCACCCGUGUCCAUGGACACUCUACCCCUUUAAUCCCGGUGACCAUUUGAAAUAUUAUAUUGAUUCUUUUCAAACCAUAUUCGGGAAUGACGUGUAUGCAUUGUGUGGGCAUGGUUAUGUUGAUGCUAAGCAUGUCUUGUAUGUAUUUCAGGUUUCCUGUGAUUGGUGUGUCAUUUUUGAGAACCCGAGGGAUGUUUGGUUAUAUGUGAAAUUUGAGCCACCUUGGCAUGAUGCUAUGAUUGAUUACACUAAUCCUAACCCUCACACCUUGAGGAACUUGUGUUUGCUUGUCCUUCCUAUUAUUUUGCAAGGUUCGAAUUUGAGGACGAAUCCUUUCUAAGGAAGGGAGGAUGCUACGAGUCAACAAGGUAUCUUAGCACUCGAAGACAUGAAGACGUGAGGGAAGACCCGAGCUUGUGGGGCUGCCUAACCAAACAACAAGCUUUGAAGUUUAAAGAACAAGUCCCAACACUCCAAAGCUGUCCAAGAAGUCAAUCCCCUUUGUUUGGGCUCAUUAAGGGCCUUUUGGUCAUUUAUGUAACAAGUGUUGCCCUAGCCUAUAAAUAGAACAAUUAGGUCAUUUUGUCAUUUAGAUUUUGAUGAUAUAUUUUGAG